UCCGUAGGUGAACCUGCGGAAGGAUCACUAGUGAUUAAAUCGAGCGUGUCUUCAUUGACCGCUCACCCUUCUCACCAUCCACAUACACCUGUGCACUGUUUAGCCUGAGCCGUUUCGGUUCAGGUUAUCAUUUCAUACAAACUCUAGUCUUAUGAAUGUAAACGUUUUAAUAACAUAAUAAAACUUUCAACAACGGAUCUCUUGGUUCUCGCAUCGAUGAAGAACGCAGCGAAAUGCGAUAAGUAAUGUGAAUUGCAGAAUUCAGUGAAUCAUCGAAUCUUUGAACGCACCUUGCGCUCCUUGGUAUUCCGAGGAGCAUGCCUGUUUGAGUGUCAUGAAACUCUCACCCUCUAGCUUUCUUAAUCGUGGCUAGCGGCGUGGACGUGAGCGCUGCUGCUUUGUUGCGGCUCGCUCGGAAUGCAUUAGCAGACCCUUUUCGUAAUCGGUUCCACUCAACGUGAUAAGUAUUUCGUUGAGGACAGUUGCAGCAAUGCGGCUGGCCGGGAUAAGAAAGGCAUAGUCGUCAGCUUCUAAUCGCCCUCGGGCAAUUUUUUAUGAUCUGGCCUCAAAUCAGGUAGGACUACCCGCUGAACUUAAGCUCAUCAAUAAGCGGAGGA
This 617-nucleotide ribosomal RNA is filed under the name uncultured tremellomycete. RNAcentral describes it as "eukaryotic LSU rRNA". The stretch from base 182 to 335 matches the Rfam family "5.8S ribosomal RNA". The record is from RNAcentral. Lineage: Eukaryota; Fungi; Basidiomycota; Tremellomycetes; Tremellales.